CUUCGUACUACUUAAACAUUUGG
RNAcentral lists this non-coding RNA (23 nucleotides) under Cricetulus griseus (Chinese hamster). Lineage: Eukaryota; Metazoa; Chordata; Mammalia; Rodentia; Cricetidae. The record is from RNAcentral.